This 26-nucleotide non-coding RNA is filed under the name Homo sapiens (human). The record is from RNAcentral. Lineage: Eukaryota; Metazoa; Chordata; Mammalia; Primates; Hominidae.
AGGCAGCCUUUCUGUUAAAUGUGGGA